Molecule: ribosomal RNA, 431 nt
Filed under: uncultured bacterium
Lineage: Bacteria
Description: bacterial SSU rRNA
Rfam family: Bacterial small subunit ribosomal RNA
Source: RNAcentral
AACGAACGCUGGCGGCAGGCCUAACACAUGCAAGUCGAACGCCCCGCAAGGGGAGUGGCAGACGGGUGAGUAACACGUGGGAACAUGCCCUUCGGUACGGAAUAACUCAGGGAAACUUGUGCUAAUACCGUAUACGUCCGAGAGGAGAAAGAUUUAUCGCCGAAGGAUUGGCCCGCGUCUGAUUAGCUAGUUGGUGAGGUAAUGGCUCACCAAGGCGACGAUCAGUAGCUGGUCUGAGAGGAUGAUCAGCCACAUUGGGACUGAGACACGGCCCAAACUCCUACGGGAGGCAGCAGUGGGGAAUAUUGGACAAUGGGCGCAAGCCUGAUCCAGCCAUGCCGCGUGAGUGAUGAAGGCCUUAGGGUUGUAAAGCUCUUUUACCCGGGAAGACAAUGACUGUACCGGGAGAAUAAGCCCCGGCUAACUCCGUG